GAUUAAGAGCUUGCUCUUAUGAAGUUAGCGGCGGACGGGUGAGUAACACGUGGGUAACCUGCCCAUAAGACUGGGAUAACUCCGGGAAACCGGGGCUAAUACCGGAUAACAUUUUGAACCGCAUGGUUCGAAAUUGAAAGGCGGCUUCGGCUGUCACUUAUGGAUGGACCCGCGUCGCAUUAGCUAGUUGGUGAGGUAACGGCUCACCAAGGCAACGAUGCGUAGCCGACCUGAGAGGGUGAUCGGCCACACUGGGACUGAGACACGGCCCAGACUCCUACGGGAGGCAGCAGUAGGGAAUCUUCCGCAAUGGACGAAAGUCUGACGGAGCAACGCCGCGUGAGUGAUGAAGGCUUUCGGGUCGUAAAACUCUGUUGUUAGGGAAGAACAAGUGCUAGUUGAAUAAGCUGGCACCUUGACGGUACCUAACCAGAAAGCCACGGCUAACUACGUGCCAGCAGCCGCGGUAAUACGUAGGUGGCAAGCGUUAUCCGGAAUUAUUGGGCGUAAAGCGCGCGCAGGUGGUUUCUUAAGUCUGAUGUGAAAGCCCACGGCUCAACCGUGAAGGGUCAUUGGAAACUGGGAGACUUGAGUGCACAAAAGGAAAGUGGAAUUCCAUGUGUAGCGGUGAAAUGCGUACAGAUAUGGAGGAACACCAGUGGCGAAGGCGACUUUCUGGUCUGUAACUGACACUGAGGCGCGAUAGCGUGCGGAGCA
Molecule: ribosomal RNA, 717 nt
Filed under: uncultured Bacillus sp.
Lineage: Bacteria; Bacillati; Bacillota; Bacilli; Caryophanales; Bacillaceae
Description: bacterial SSU rRNA
Rfam family: Bacterial small subunit ribosomal RNA
Source: RNAcentral